Molecule: ribosomal RNA, 455 nt
Filed under: Hafnia paralvei
Lineage: Bacteria; Pseudomonadati; Pseudomonadota; Gammaproteobacteria; Enterobacterales; Hafniaceae
Description: bacterial SSU rRNA
Rfam family: Bacterial small subunit ribosomal RNA
Source: RNAcentral
CGYCGCCCGGGGCGCGCCCCGGGCGGGGUGGGGGCACGGGGGGAACGAGAAGAACCUUACCUACUCUUGACAUCCAGAGAAUUUGCUAGAGAUAGCUUAGUGCCUUCGGGAACUCUGAGACAGGUGCUGCAUGGCUGUCGUCAGCUCGUGUUGUGAAAUGUUGGGUUAAGUCCCGCAACGAGCGCAACCCUUAUCCUUUGUUGCCAGCGAGUAAUGUCGGGAACUCAAAGGAGACUGCCGGUGAUAAACCGGAGGAAGGUGGGGAUGACGUCAAGUCAUCAUGGCCCUUACGAGUAGGGCUACACACGUGCUACAAUGGCAUAUACAAAGAGAAGCGAACUCGCGAGAGCAAGCGGACCUCAUAAAGUAUGUCGUAGUCCGGAUUGGAGUCUGCAACUCGACUCCAUGAAGUCGGAAUCGCUAGUAAUCGUAGAUCAGAAUGCUACGGUGAAGCA